GCGCCUUGCCAGCCCGCUCAGAAACUUAAGGAAUUGACGGGGCCCGCACAAGCGGCGGAGCAUGUGGAUUAAUUCGAUGCAACGCGAAGAACCUUACCUGGGUUUGACAUACACCGGAAAACCGUAGAGAUACGGUCCCCCUUGUGGUCGGUGUACAGGUGGUGCAUGGCUGUCGUCAGCUCGUGUCGUGAGAUGUUGGGUUAAGUCCCGCAACGAGCGCAACCCUUGUCUUAUGUUGCCAGCACGUGAUGGUGGGGACUCGUAAGAGACUGCCGGGGUCAACUCGGAGGAAGUGGGGACGACGUCAAGUCAUCAUGCCCCUUAUGUCCAGGGCUUCACACAUGCUACAAUGGCCAGUACAGAGGGCUGCGAGACCGUGAGGUGGAGCGAAUCCCUUAAAGCUGGUCUCAGUUCGGAUCGGGGUCUGCAACUCGACCCCGUGAAGUCGGAGUCGCUAGUAAUCGCAGAUCAGCAACGCUGCGGUGAAUACGUUCCCGGGCCUU
This 503-nucleotide ribosomal RNA is filed under the name uncultured Rhodococcus sp. Its description in RNAcentral is "bacterial SSU rRNA". It matches the Rfam family "Bacterial small subunit ribosomal RNA", at positions 904 to 1382 of the family's 1533-position model. The record is from RNAcentral. Lineage: Bacteria; Bacillati; Actinomycetota; Actinomycetes; Mycobacteriales; Nocardiaceae.